Mus musculus (house mouse) is the source of this 2052-nucleotide RNA transcript. It is a transcript of the gene named carboxylesterase 1F, with no coding region annotated. NCBI's taxonomy places the organism in Eukaryota, Metazoa, Chordata, Mammalia, Rodentia, Muridae. The transcript has 15 exons. The record is from RefSeq and is marked validated.
UUACACACCCCUUCCUUGUGGAUCAGAGUUAGAAGGUCCAUUGACUUGGGAGCCUGUCCAUGCAAGAUGUUCCUUAGCACUCUGUUCCUGGUGUCUCUAGCAACCUGUGUGAUUUGCGGAAAUCCCUCUUCACCACCUGUGGUAGACACUGCUCAUGGUAAAGUCCUGGGGAAACACGUGAACGUAGAAGGAUUUUCACAGCCUGUGGCCGUCUUCCUGGGAAUCCCCUUUGCCAAGCCCCCUCUUGGAUCCCUGAGGUUUGCUCCACCACAGCCUGCAGAGCCCUGGAGCUCAGUGAAGAAUGCCACCACCUACCCACCUAUGUGCUCCCAAGAUGCAGCUAGAGGACAGGCGGUCAAUGACCUCAUAACCAAUAGAAAGGAGAAAAUCCAUCUUGAAUUUUCUGAAGAUUGCCUGUACCUAAAUAUUUACACUCCUGCGGACUUUUCAAAGAACAGUAGGCUACCGGUGAUGGUGUGGAUCCAUGGAGGUGGACUGAAGCUGGGUGGGGCAUCAAGCUUUGAUGGACGGGCUCUCUCUGCAUACGAAAAUGUGGUGGUGGUGGCCAUUCAAUAUCGCCUGAGUAUCUGGGGAUUCUUCAGCACAGGGGAUGAACACAGUCGGGGAAACUGGGGUCAUUUGGACCAAGUGGCUGCUCUGCAUUGGGUCCAGGACAACAUUGCCAACUUUGGCGGGGACCCAGGCUCUGUGACCAUCUUUGGAGAGUCAGCAGGAGGUUACAGUGUCUCAAUUCUUAUAUUGUCCCCAUUGUCCAAGAACCUCUUCCACAGGGCCAUUUCUGAGAGUGGUGUGGCCUUCAUUCCUGGAAUGUUUACCAAAGAUGUGAGGCCAAUUACUGAGCAAAUUGCUGUUACUGCUGGCUGUAAGACCACCACGUCUGCCGUCAUUGUUCACUGCAUGCGCCAGAAGACGGAGGAGGAGCUAUUAGAGAUCAUGCAUAAAUUGAAUCUGUAUAAACUGAGUUUACAAGGAGAUACCAAAAAUAGCGACCAGUUCGUGACAAGUGUGCUUGAUGGAGUGGUGCUACCAAAGGACCCCAAAGAGAUCCUGGCUGAGAAGAACUUCAACACUGUGCCUUACAUUGUGGGAAUCAACAAGCAAGAAUGUGGCUGGCUUCUGCCAACAAUGACGGGAUUUCUACCAGCUGAUGUAAAAUUGGACAAGAAGAAAGCCAUUGCACUCCUGGAGCAAUUUGCUUCCAUGACUGGCAUACCAGAGGAUAUUAUUCCAGUUGCUGUUGAGAAGUACACAAAAGGUAGUGAUGACCCUGAUCAGAUCAGAGAGGGAGUUCUCGACGCAAUGGGGGAUGUGGCAUUUGGUGUUCCAUCGGUGAUUGUGUCCCGUGGCCACAGAGGAACCGAGGACACAGAGUCUCUCACACCAUCAUUGCAGAACUUGAGUGGCCUGAGGAUACAGUCUGACACCGUCGUUACAGUCCCCCAGGGUCUGAAGACCGUUAUGACACUGGAGCUCCCACCUACAUGUAUGAGUAUCAAUACUACCCAAGCUUCUCAUCACCCCAAAGACCCAAGAAUGUAGUAGGAGACCAUGCAGAUGAUGUCUACUCUGUCUUCGGUGCUCCAAUUUUAAGAGAGGGUGCCUCCGAAGAGGAGAUCAAUCUCAGCAAGAUGGUGAUGAAAUUCUGGGCCAACUUUGCUCGGAAUGGGAACCCUAAUGGCAAAGGGCUGCCUCAUUGGCCAAAGUAUGAUCAGAAAGAAGGAUAUCUUCAUAUUGGUGGCACCACCCAGCAAGCCCAGAGACUGAAGGAAGAGGAAGUGACUUUCUGGACACAGUCCCUUGCCAAGAAACAACCCCAGCCAUACCACAAUGAGCUGUGAAUGCAAAGCUCUGCCAGGCUUAUACCAGAGAAGCCAAGAUAUGGUUCUUCCACUAACAGUGUAUGUAAAUCCAAGAUGGAUCUUGGAGGAUCCUGAAGAACUUUGUCAUAGAUAUAGGCAGAGCCCAGGGAAGGGAAAUGUUGUAUUUAUGUCUUUAAUUUAGAGAAUAAAUGUUCUUUAUAUGGUCAAAUAA